AUGCUCCGCCGCCGCCGUGCCCCUCUCCUCCUCGCGGCCGCGGCGGGCGCGGCCCUGGCGACCACGUCCGCCACCUCCCCUUCCGCCGACGGUCUCGGCGUCGCUUCCACGUUCCACGGCGUCGCCCGCUCCUCCCGCGCCAUUUACACGAUUGGCUUCGUGGUCGUGGACUACAAAUACUCGCUGCGGGGGCUGGUUCCUGGAUCGGCAGAUUACCGGGGUAAGCUCUCCGAGGUUCACUUGAGGUCAGCAAAAAAGCUGCUUAGACUAUGUGAAGCGAAUAGAGGCUUUUAUGUAAAAGCUGGUCAGUUUGUUUCAUCACUAAGACAAGUACCGAAGGAGUACAUAUCAACUCUAUCCUGCCUGCAGGAUCAGGCAACUCCAUGCAAAUAUCAAGAUAUCAAAAUAGUGAUUGAACAAAAUUUGGGCAGGGAUCUACAUGGCAUAUUCCUGGAAUUUGAUGAACAUCCGAUCGCUGCUGCAUCAAUUGCUCAGGUUCAUCGAGGUCGGUUGAAUAAUAAUCAGGAAGUAGCUGUAAAGGUUCAGUAUCCUGGGUUGGAGCGGCGAAUGAAGCUAGACAUAAUGACUAUGUCCCUCUUGUCAAAAUAUGUCUCUUUGAUCUUUCCUGAUUAUAGGUUUGAGAAAAUAUUACUUGAAUUUGAGAGAACCAUGUCAAUGGAACUGGAUUUUACCCAAGAGGCUAAGAAUUCCGAGAGAACUACAAGCUGCUUCAGGAAAAAUGAUGUUGUCAAAGUACCUCAUGUUUUUUGGGAACUGACAACCAAGGAGGUCUUGACAAUGGAAUUUUGUACUGGCCACAAGGUUGAUGACUUGGACUUCCUAAGGAAAGCCGAUAUCAGCCCUACAAAGGUAGCUAAAGCAUUAAUCGAACUGUUUGGUGAAAUGAUAUUUAUACAUGGUUUUGUUCAUGGUGAUCCUCAUCCUGGAAACAUAUUGGUUUCUCCUCGAGGCCAAGGGAGAUUUUCAUUAGUUUUGUUGGAUCAUGGUAUUUAUAAAGAAUUGGACCCAAAGUUUAGACUGGACUACUGUAAGCUGUGGAAAGCAUUGAUAUCGCUGGAUGUGCAAAAAAUUCUGGAGUUAGGUGAACAGUUUGGUGUCGGGAAAUAUGCGAAGUACUUUCCUUUAAUAUUCACUGGAAGGACUAUAGACAGCAAAUCAGCUCUUGGAACACAAAUAUCUGGUGAAGAGAAGACACGUAUAAAGCAGGACUUGAACUCUCUUGGAAUGGAUGAUAUAUCUUCAUUUAUGGAAUCCUUGCCGCCUGAUUUUCUUGUCAUACUUCGAACCGAUGGACUAUUGAGGUCCAUUUUAGGGAAUCUAGGGGCGCCACGUCAUGUUCGACUUCUUGCUUAUGCAAAGUGUGCCAUAUACGGCCAUGAGGAACAGUCCAGAUUGGAGUCCGGUGCAAUCAACCGUAUAACGUUGCAAAUCAAAACAAGCAUUAGCUAUCUCCAUCUGAGGAUACUCAUUGAAUUAGCGAGGUUGUUGGUGCAAUUUAAUGACUACAAGCAUAAGGCCAAGGACAAAUUGAGUUGGAUGCUCCAGAAGAUAAGUAGAGAGGUUUUGGGAUGGUACAAAGCUCUGAUGUGA
RNAcentral lists this ribosomal RNA (1611 nucleotides) under Triticum aestivum (bread wheat). Its description in RNAcentral is "partial small subunit ribosomal RNA". The record is from RNAcentral. Lineage: Eukaryota; Viridiplantae; Streptophyta; Magnoliopsida; Poales; Poaceae.